This 253-nucleotide ribosomal RNA is filed under the name uncultured bacterium. RNAcentral describes it as "partial 16S ribosomal RNA". It matches the Rfam family "Bacterial small subunit ribosomal RNA", at positions 524 to 776 of the family's 1533-position model. The record is from RNAcentral.
UACAUGGGGUGCAAACGUUGCUCGGAAUUAUUGGGCGUAAAGCGCACGUAGGCGGUUUGUUAAGUCGGAUGUGAAAUCCCUCGGCUCAACUGAGGAAGUGCAUCCGAAACUGGCAAGCUUGAGUACGAAAGAGGGUCGCGGAAUUCCCGGUGUAGAGGUGAAAUUCGUAGAUAUCGGGAGGAACACCGGUGGCGAAGGCGGCGACCUGGGUCGAUACUGACGCUGAGGAGCGAAAGCGUGGGGAGCGAACAGG